Molecule: long non-coding RNA, 754 nt
Filed under: Capra hircus (goat)
Lineage: Eukaryota; Metazoa; Chordata; Mammalia; Artiodactyla; Bovidae
Description: lncRNA (ENSCHIG00000007043.1)
Source: RNAcentral
AUGGGACUGGCUGGAUAUAGAAAGAUUUCUGGUAACCUCUGUCCUCUGCACAUCCUGACCACAGCUGGCACAGGGCUGUGUUCCCUUGAAGGAAAAGAGACUGUGUCUUCUUUGUUGGUCAUGGUGUUCCUACCACCUGACACAGAGCUGAGCAUACAGUGUAAACUCAGUGUAUUUGCUGAACAAGUAAAUGGAUGGAUAAAUGAAAAGGAGAUGGCUUCACAGAACUACAAUUCACCAAUUAAACUUCAGCUCUUUUUCAAGGAUAAUGAGUAACACAGUUGACAAGAUUUUCAACUUCAGCAUCACCAAAAUGUAGAAUUGCUGUUUUAUUUGUUCAGUAGUUCACUCCUAUGCAAAACCGUAGCUACAAUUUGAAGCUUUUUAAAGUUUCCUCCUUAGGGGCUUUAUCAGGUCACUGCUUGUAAAGAGUCUGAAUGCUCCCUUUUGUUUCUUGGGUAAUCUCAGUAAAAUUGAUCUAGUUACCAUGGGAUCUGUGUAUCUAUCACAGUGCCCAGGAACAAGGACCUUGGGCUCACAAGGCCACCAUUUGCUUUUUAGGUGACCCUGAGCAAGUUGUAUAACCUGUUGCAGCCUUAGUUUCAACUUCUCUAAAAGGAAGAUAUUAAUAAUAUAGAGCACUGUAGGGAUCCUGUGAGGAUUAAAUAAAAUAACUUAUAUAAACCAACACAUGAAAGUGACUUGUGCAUUACUGGGCCAUAGUAGAUGCUCAAUAAAUGUAAUGAAGGUUAUU